Molecule: ribosomal RNA, 305 nt
Filed under: uncultured bacterium
Lineage: Bacteria
Description: bacterial SSU rRNA
Rfam family: Bacterial small subunit ribosomal RNA
Source: RNAcentral
CGUUGCCUACGGGGGGCAGCAGUGGGGAAUAUUGGGCAAUGGACGCAAGUCUGACCCAGCAACGCCGCGUGAAGGAGGAAGGCUUUCGGGUUGUAAACUUCUUUUAAGGGGGAAGAGCAGAAGACGGUACCCCUUGAAUAAGCCACGGCUAACUACGUGCCAGCAGCCGCGGUAAUACGUAGGUGGCAAGCGUUGUCCGGAUUUACUGGGUGUAAAGGGCGUGCAGCCGGGAGGACAAGUCAGAUGUGAAGUCCCGCGGCUCAACCGCGGAACUGCAUUUGAAACUGUUUUUCUUGAGUAUCGGG